AACGAACGCUGGCGGCAGGCUUAACACAUGCAAGUCGAACGAGAUCUUCGGAUCUAGCGGCAGACGGGUGAGGAACACGUGGGAACAUCCCUUUCAGUUCGGAAUAACGUUGGGAAACUCACGCUAAUACCGGAUACGUCCUUCGGGAGAAAGAUUUAUCGCUGAAAGAUUGGCCCGCGCCUGAUUAGCUAGUUGGUGAGGUAACGGCUCACCAAGGCUACGAUCAGUAGCUGAUCUGAGAGGAUGAUCAGCCACAUUGGGACUGAGACACGGCCCAAACUCCUACGGGAGGCAGCAGUGGGGAAUAUUGGACAAUGGGCGCAAGCCUGAUCCAGCCAUGCCGCGUGAGUGAUGACGGCCUUCGGGUUGUAAAGCUCUUUUGUCCGGGAAGAUAAUGACUGUACCGGAAGAAUAAGCCCCGGCAAACUUCGUGCCAGCCGCCGCGGUAA
Molecule: ribosomal RNA, 449 nt
Filed under: uncultured bacterium
Lineage: Bacteria
Description: partial 16S ribosomal RNA
Rfam family: Bacterial small subunit ribosomal RNA
Source: RNAcentral